Molecule: long non-coding RNA, 213 nt
Filed under: Nicotiana benthamiana
Lineage: Eukaryota; Viridiplantae; Streptophyta; Magnoliopsida; Solanales; Solanaceae
Description: long non-coding RNA (NBEN_LNC006192)
Source: RNAcentral
UUGGCAUUGCACACCUUAAUUUAUUUCAAAAGAUUGCACUCAACUUAAAGCAAACUAUGAAUGUUCAUUUAGAAAUUCCAUUCUUUUAACCAUGAAUAAAAGUUGCCGAAUGAAGUCAUUUUGGAUCAACAAAAGCGAUUAUCAGUUCUAAGUUCCGUUGCCUAUUCCCAUGAAUUUGUAUCAAUAUACUCCGGAAGAUCUUAGCCUACACAU